CUGCUUGCACGCAACUGGCGAUAGGCGCCGGGCCCCACAGGCCCUUUGGCGCUGACGUGGGACACCACUGGGAAGCGUGCCGCAAGCCUCUUUGGGCUUGCGAUCAGCCGUUCGCCUGGGCAGCCCUG
Molecule: non-coding RNA, 128 nt
Filed under: Curvibacter sp.
Lineage: Bacteria; Pseudomonadati; Pseudomonadota; Betaproteobacteria; Burkholderiales; Comamonadaceae
Description: ZTP sequence
Rfam family: ZMP/ZTP riboswitch aptamer (pfl RNA motif)
About the family: Previously known as pfl RNA. ZMP is also known as AICAR.
Source: RNAcentral